AGUGAACGCUGGCGGUAGGCCUAACACAUGCAAGUCGAACGGCAGCACAGUAAGAGCUUGCUCUUACGGGUGGCGAGUGGCGGACGGGUGAGGAACACAUCGGAAUCUACUUUUUCGUGGGGGAUAACGUAGGGAAACUUACGCUAAUACCGCAUACGACCUACGGGUGAAAGCAGGGGAUCUUCGGACCUUGCACGAUUGAAUGAGCCGAUGUCGGAUUAGCUAGUUGGCGGGGUAAAGGCCCACCAAGGCGACGAUCCGUAGCUGGUCUGAGAGGAUGAUCAGCCACACUGGAACUGAGACACGGUCCAGACUCCUACGGGAGGCAGCAGUGGGGAAUAUUGGACAAUGGGCGCAAGCCUGAUCCAGCCAUACCGCGUGGGUGAAGAAGGCCUUCGGGUUGUAAAGCCCUUUUGUUGGGAAAGAAAAGCAGCAGGUUAAUACCCCGCUGUUCUGACGGUACCCAAAGAAUAAGCACCGGCUAACUUCGUG
This 492-nucleotide ribosomal RNA is filed under the name uncultured bacterium. RNAcentral describes it as "partial 16S ribosomal RNA". It matches the Rfam family "Bacterial small subunit ribosomal RNA", at positions 29 to 507 of the family's 1533-position model. The record is from RNAcentral.